GAUGAACGCUGGCGGCGUGCCUAAUACAUGCAAGUCGAGCGAACGGACGAGAAGCUUGCUUCUCUGAUGUUAGCGGCGGACGGGUGAGUAACACGUGGAUAACCUACCUAUAAGGCUGGGAUAACUUCGGGAAACCGGAGCUAAUACCGGAUAAUAUUUUGAACCGCAUGGUUCAAAAGUGAAAGACGGUCUUGCCGUCACUUAUAGAUGGAUCCGCGCUGCAUUAGCUAGUUGGUAAGGUAACGGCUUACCAAGGCAACGAUGCAUAGCCGACCUGAGAGGGUGAUCGGCCACACUGGAACUGAGACACGGUCCAGACUCCUACGGGAGGCAGCAGUAGGGAAUCUUCCGCAAUGGGCGAAAGCCUGACGGAGCAACGCCGCGUGAGUGAUGAAGGUCUUCGGAUUGUAAAACUCUGUUAUUAGGGAAGAACAUAUGUGUAAGUAACUGUGCACAUCUUGACGGUACCUAAUCAGAAAGCCACGGCUAACUACGUGCCAGCAGCCGCGGUAAUACGUAGGUGGCAAGCGUUAUCCGGAAUUAUUGGGCGUAAAGCGCGCGUAGGCGGUUUUUUAAGUCUGAUGUGAAAGCCCACGGCUCAACCGUGGAGGGUCAUUGGAAACUGGAAAACUUGAGUGCAGAAGAGGAAAGUGGAAUUCCAUGUGUAGCGGUGAAAUGCGCAGAGAUAUGGAGGAACACCAGUGGCGAAGGCGACUUUCUGGUCUGUAACUGACGCUGAUGUGCGAAAGCGUGGGGAUCAAACAGGAUUAGAUACCCUGGUAGUCCACGCCGUAAACGAUGAGUGCUAAGUGUUAGGGGGUUUCCGCCCCUUAGUGCUGCAGCUAACGCAUUAAGCACUCCGCCUGGGGAGUACGACCGCAAGGUUGAAACUCAAAGGAAUUGACGGGGACCCGCACAAGCGGUGGAGCAUGUGGUUUAAUUCGAAGCAACGCGAAGAACCUUACCAAAUCUUGACAUCCUUUGACAACUCUAGAGAUAGAGCUUUCCCCUUCGGGGGACAAAGUGACAGGUGGUGCAUGGUUGUCGUCAGCUCGUGUCGUGAGAUGUUGGGUUAAGUCCCGCAACGAGCGCAACCCUUAAGCUUAGUUGCCAUCAUUAAGUUGGGCACUCUAAGUUGACUGCCGGUGACAAACCGGAGGAAGGUGGGGAUGACGUCAAAUCAUCAUGCCCCUUAUGAUUUGGGCUACACACGUGCUACAAUGGACAAUACAAAGGGCAGCGAAACCGUGAGGUCAAGCAAAUCCCAUAAAGUUGUUCUCAGUUCGGAUUGUAGUCUGCAACUCGACUACAUGAAGCUGGAAUCGCUAGUAAUCGUAGAUCAGCAUGCUACGGUGAAUACGUUCCCGGGUCU
RNAcentral lists this ribosomal RNA (1372 nucleotides) under uncultured bacterium. RNAcentral describes it as "bacterial SSU rRNA". It matches the Rfam family "Bacterial small subunit ribosomal RNA", at positions 28 to 1381 of the family's 1533-position model. The record is from RNAcentral.